Molecule: RNase MRP RNA, 257 nt
Filed under: Medicago truncatula (barrel medic)
Lineage: Eukaryota; Viridiplantae; Streptophyta; Magnoliopsida; Fabales; Fabaceae
Description: SRP RNA gene34941
Rfam family: RNase MRP
About the family: RNase MRP is an enzymatically active ribonucleoprotein with two distinct roles in eukaryotes. In mitochondria it plays a direct role in the initiation of mitochondrial DNA replication.
Source: Rfam by way of RNAcentral
CAUGGAUUGAGACGAUGUGGAUGGGCCCUUGCUGAGUGCUGAGCUCAGGAAAGUCCCCGGGCCGAAUCUGCAGAAAUGCAGGCCUGGAAACAGGUAAAUCUUUGAGCUGGGGCUGGUUUCACACUUUCUUUCGGGAGUUUGAGGGCUGAGACAUGUGUGGAGCCUUCGCCAGUGCCGCCAAAGAAAAUUGGCCGAUUCAUACAGUCAUUCACAUGGUCCUUGCGACUAACAGAACGGGGCUUAUGUCUCCAAUCCAA